AUUAACAAAAAGAAAAUGAAACAUAAAGGCCAAUUGGCCCAAACCAAAAUCCCCAAAACGGCAAAACCUAAUAAAAACCCUUUAAACUCACUUUUCGUCCUUCCCAGCCGCCUCCCCAUGCGUUCCCUUCCCAACCGCCUUCCCUUUUCCUCCCUUUUCCCAUUUCCUUCUUCAACAUCACUUUCUCUAUUCACAUGUACAGAGCAAACCAAUGGAAUCACCGGCUAGAUAGUCUGGCAUCUUCUGUCUUUCCAAGUAUGUUUAUGUAUUUAUAUUUAGAAUUUUUCAAUUCCAUACACCUACUUGAUUUGAAUUUUUGGAUUUAUAUUCUAACAAUUUGAUAUAUAUAUAUAUAUAUAUAAUGCAGUAUUAUGAUAGGUAUUGAGUGGAACCUUAAAGAUUAUAAUGCAAUGUUGGGAAGAGCCACUCGAAAAGACAUUACAAAUAAAAAUUAGAUGAAAAUCUUUUCAAAAGUUUUUAGAAAAGUAUACAGGUUUAUUUUCUUAUCUUGUUGCAUUGAAUUUUUCCCUUUUGUUAUACGUUAUCAUUGAAAAGUAUACAGCUAAUUUUUGUUUCUUUUGAAUUUAUAUGGUACAUUUUAAUCUAUUGAAUGCAAGAAGAUCAAGGAUUAGUCUUGAUACAAAGAGUGAAAUUACUUCAUCCGUGAUGGCAGAAGAUCAUUUGGUGACAACAUCUUCAAUCCCAGAUUAAAUACUUAUAACUUAGUUCUGUUUUGAUGUGGAACCCUUCAGAAUUUUAUAUAAUAUAGUUUACUUUUGAUAGAUAAUUGUAUAUUUUAGAAUUAAUUUUUGAAAUUUUUGGAUGUAAAUUCGU
This 834-nucleotide long non-coding RNA is filed under the name Nicotiana tabacum (common tobacco). RNAcentral describes it as "long non-coding RNA (NTAB_LNC004204)". The record is from RNAcentral. Lineage: Eukaryota; Viridiplantae; Streptophyta; Magnoliopsida; Solanales; Solanaceae.